UACGGAGGGGGCAAGCGUUGUUCGGAAUUAUUGGGCGUAAAGGGCGCGUAGGCGGCCAUGCAAGUCGGUUGUGAAAUCCCUUGGCUCAACCAAGGAACUGCGUCCGAAACUGCAUGGCUCGAGUCCGGGAGAGGGUAGUGGAAUUCCCAGUGUAGCGGUGAAAUGCGUAGAUAUUGGGAGGAACACCGGUGGCGAAGGCGGCUACCUGGACCGGAACUGACGCUGAGGCGCGAAAGCUAGGGGAGCAAACAGGAUUAGAUACCCUGGUAGUCCUAGCUGUAAACGAUGAGCACUUGGUGUAGCGGGUAUUGACCCCUGCUGUGCCGAAGCUAACGCAUUAAGUGCUCCGCCUGGGGAGUACGGUCGCAAGGCUGAA
Molecule: ribosomal RNA, 376 nt
Filed under: uncultured bacterium
Lineage: Bacteria
Description: bacterial SSU rRNA
Rfam family: Bacterial small subunit ribosomal RNA
Source: RNAcentral